RNAcentral lists this ribosomal RNA (605 nucleotides) under Colletotrichum fioriniae. RNAcentral describes it as "eukaryotic LSU rRNA". It matches the Rfam family "Eukaryotic large subunit ribosomal RNA", at positions 38 to 667 of the family's 3401-position model. The record is from RNAcentral. Lineage: Eukaryota; Fungi; Ascomycota; Sordariomycetes; Glomerellales; Glomerellaceae.
GCAUAUCAAUAAGCGGAGGAAAAGAAACCAACAGGGAUUGCCCCAGUAACGGCGAGUGAAGCGGCAACAGCUCAAAUUUGAAAUCUGGCCCCAGGCCCGAGUUGUAAUUUGCAGAGGAUGCUUUUGGCGCGGUGCCUUCCGAGUUCCCUGGAACGGGACGCCAUAGAGGGUGAGAGCCCCGUACGGUUGGACACCAAGCCUUUGUAAAGCUCCUUCGACGAGUCGAGUAGUUUGGGAAUGCUGCUCUAAAUGGGAGGUACAUUUCUUCUAAAGCUAAAUAUUGGCCAGAGACCGAUAGCGCACAAGUAGAGUGAUCGAAAGAUGAAAAGCACCUUGAAAAGAGGGUUAAACAGCACGUGAAAUUGUUAAAAGGGAAGCGCUUGUGACCAGACUUGCGUCCGGUGAAUCACCCAGCUCUCGCGGCUGGGGCACUUCGCCGGCACAGGCCAGCAUCAGCUUGCCGUCGGGGACAAAAGCUUCAGGAACGUGGCUCCUCUCGGGGAGUGUUAUAGCCUGUUGUAUAAUACCCUUCGGCGGGCUGAGGUACGCGCUCCGCAAGGAUGCUGGCGUAAUGGUCACCAGCGACCCGUCUUGAAACACGGACC